UACUGCAUUUUUUCUUACACAUGUGUUUUUCUUUUUUUGAAAACUUUGCUUUGGUAGGCUUCUGUAUGGGGCCUGCCAGAGAUUAAACUCAACCAAAUUUUAUUUAAUGUCAACCGAUUAUUUAAUAGUCAAAACUUUCAACAACGGAUCUCUUGGUUCUCGCAUCGAUGAAGAACGCAGCGAAAUGCGAUAAGUAAUAUGAAUUGCAGAUAUUCGUGAAUCAUCGAAUCUUUGAACGCACAUUGCGCCCUUUGGUAUUCCAAAGGGCAUGCCUGUUUGAGCGUCAUUUCUCCCUCAAACCCUCGGGUUUGGUGUUGAGCGAUACGCUGGGUUUGCUUGAAAGAAAGGCGGAGUAUAAACUAAUGGAUAGGUUUUUUCCACUCAUUGGUACAAACUCCAAAACUUCUUCCAAAUUCGACCUCAAAUCAGGUAGGACUACCCGCUGAACUUAAGCAUAUCAAUAAGCGGAGG
RNAcentral lists this ribosomal RNA (471 nucleotides) under Lodderomyces parapsilosis. Its description in RNAcentral is "eukaryotic LSU rRNA". The stretch from base 133 to 286 matches the Rfam family "5.8S ribosomal RNA". Lineage: Eukaryota; Fungi; Ascomycota; Pichiomycetes; Serinales; Debaryomycetaceae. The record is from RNAcentral.